RNA transcript from Canis lupus familiaris (dog), 1858 nucleotides. It is a transcript of the gene named polypeptide N-acetylgalactosaminyltransferase like 5, with no coding region annotated. NCBI's taxonomy places the organism in Eukaryota, Metazoa, Chordata, Mammalia, Carnivora, Canidae. The transcript has 11 exons. The record is from RefSeq and is a predicted model, not a curated record.
UUGAUGUUGUGUCUUGUAUAAUACCACGCAGGCAGGGCAGCCCAGCACAAUCAAGUACUUGCUCAGAAUCCAGGCACCACAAAUCAACCAUCCAGAAAGAAAACUCGUCUUUUCACAUCAUUCAACCUAGAGUCCUGCCUAAUUUCACCUGUGACUCAGUUUAGGCAAGUUAUCAACUACAGAACAGCCAAUGUCUUAAUGGAUCCUCAGGAUGCAGCCCAUGCAAAGCCCCUGAUUCCACUGGAUCGUGAUGUCUUGGGGAGGUUCUGCAAUUCCUUGGGAACAGUCUCUUUCCUCCCUGGGCAGGGCCCAGCAUCUUUCCAGCCAGGCUAUGCUGAAAUUAAAAAACAGACCUUCAAAAAUGCUAGGUUUACAAUGAGAGGUAUCACAGUUCAAUGUUUAUUCUAUGCAUCCUUGAUAUUUGGGAUCUGGACAACUCUGUCAUAUAUAUAUAUUUACCAUAAUCAUGUGAGCAACUUGGAGACGAAAACCCAGGAGGCUGAAUUAAUUUGGUCCCUUGGAAAAAAAUUGCAACAGCAAAUUACCCACGGACCCCAGCAAAUCCCAAGACUGCAUAUGAGAUUUGAAAAGCCUGAUGAAGAUGAAACUGCAGGAAAAUUAUUUUUUAAAUUGGGUAAGGAUUUUAACUAUUCAAACCCAGAAUUUAUUGAUGGACUUUUAAAAUAUGGAUUUAAUACCAUUCUCAGUAAAAGCUUGGGCAGUGACAGCAAGGUGCCAGAUACCAGGAAUAAAAUGUGUCUUCAAAAACGUUACCCAGCCAAGCUACCGACCGCCAGCGUGAUCAUUUGCUUCCACAAUGAGGAAUUUAAUGCCUUAUUUCGGACCCUGUCCAGUGUCGGAAACCUCACUCCACACUACAUCCUUGAAGAAAUUAUUUUGGUGGAUGACAUGAGCGACUUCGAUGAUUUGAAAGAAAAACUAGACCAUCACCUGGAAAUUUUUCGGGGAAAGAUUAAAGUAAUAAGAAACAAAAAGAGAGAAGGACUGGUCCGAUCAAGGCUGAUUGGAGCCUCUCGUGCUUCAGGGGAUGUUCUGGUGUUCCUGGAUAGCCACUGCGAGGUGAAUACUGCAUGGCUGCAGCCCUUGCUGCAUGCCAUUGCCAAGGACUCCAAAAUGGUGGUGUGUCCUCUGAUAGAUGUCAUUGACUAUAUGACCCUUGAAUACCAGUCCUCUCCUGUUGUAAGGGGUGCUUUCAACUGGCAUCUAGAUUUUAAGUGGGAUAGUGUUUAUUCUUAUGAGAUGGAUGGACCAGAAGGACCCACUAGACCCAUCCGGUCACCUGCAAUGGCUGGAGGAAUUUUUGCUAUAAACAGGCAUUAUUUUAAUGAGAUUGGACAAUACGACAAAGGCAUGGAUCUCUGGGGAGCAGAAAAUUUGGAACUUUCACUGAGGAUUUGAUGACAUAAUUGGAGUAGAGAAAAAAGUACAAAACAGAUAUUCCUGGCAAGAGAGUCUGAAGAAAGUAUGAAGAUCUGGAUGUGUGGAGGCCAACUCUUUAUAAUCCCCUGCUCCCGAGUGGGACACAUCAGUAAGCAGCGCUUUUCAAACCAACCUGAGCUUGUAAAAGCCAUGACAUAUAAUAAUCUCAGAUUGGUGCACGUCUGGCUGGAUGAAUACAAGGAGCAGUUUUUUUUACAACAGCCUGGUCUGAAAUCUGUUGCCUAUGGCAACAUUAGUGAGCGUGUUGAACUAAGGAAACGAUUGGGUUGCAAAUCAUUUCAGUGGUAUCUGGAUAAUGUCUUCCCAGAAUUGGAGACAUCUAAGGGCAGCCUAUGAAAAGGAAACAAAUCAUUUUCAUUAAUGAAGGACUAGAAGUCCCCAAGAUCGUCAACAGAGA